Molecule: non-coding RNA, 45 nt
Filed under: Schistosoma curassoni
Lineage: Eukaryota; Metazoa; Platyhelminthes; Trematoda; Strigeidida; Schistosomatidae
Source: RNAcentral
ACCCAGCUGACGAGUCCCAAAUGGGACGAAACGCACAUCUUGGAU